This 449-nucleotide ribosomal RNA is filed under the name uncultured organism. RNAcentral describes it as "partial 16S ribosomal RNA". It matches the Rfam family "Bacterial small subunit ribosomal RNA", at positions 335 to 800 of the family's 1533-position model. The record is from RNAcentral.
ACUCCUACGGGAGGCAGCAGUGGGGAAUAUUGGACAAUGGGCGCAAGCCUGAUCCAGCCAUGCCGCGUGAGUGAUGAAGGCCCUAGGGUUGUAAAGCUCUUUCACCGGUGAAGAUAAUGACGGUAACCGGAGAAGAAGCCCCGGCUAACUUCGUGCCAGCAGCCGCGGUAAUACGAAGGGGGCUAGCGUUGUUCGGAUUUACUGGGCGUAAAGCGCACGUAGGCGGACUAUUAAGUCAGGGGUGAAAUCCCGGGGCUCAACCCCGCAACUGCCUUUGAUACUGGUAGUCUUGAGUUCGAGAGAGGUGAGUGGAAUUCCGAGUGUAGAGGUGAAAUUCGUAGAUAUUCGGAGGAACACCAGUGGCGAAGGCGGCUCACUGGCUCGAUACUGACGCUGAGGUGCGAAAGCGUGGGGAGCAAACAGGAUUAGAAACCCCGGUAGUCCCAUGA